AUUGAACGCCGGCGGCAGGCCUAACACAUGCAAGUCGAGCGGAUGAAGGGAGCUUGCUCCUGGAUUCAGCGGCGGACGGGUGAGUAAUGCCUAGGAAUCUGCCUGGUAGUGGGGGAUAACGUCCGGAAACGAGCGCUAAUACCGCAUACGUCCUGAGGGAGAAAGUGGGGGAUCUUCGGACCUCACGCUAUCAGAUGAGCCUAGGUCGGAUUAGCUAGUUGGUGGGGUAAAGGCCUACCAAGGCGACGAUCCGUAACUGGUCUGAGAGGAUGAUCAGUCACACUGGAACUGAGACACGGUCCAGACUCCUACGGGAGGCAGCAGUGGGGAAUAUUGGACAAUGGGCGAAAGCCUGAUCCAGCCAUGCCGCGUGUGUGAAGAAGGUCUUCGGAUUGUAAAGCACUUUAAGCUGGGAGGAAGGGCAGUAAGUUAAUACCUUGCUGUUUUGACGUUACCAACAGAAUAAGCACCGGCUAACUUCGUG
This 484-nucleotide ribosomal RNA is filed under the name uncultured bacterium. RNAcentral's name for it is "partial 16S ribosomal RNA". It matches the Rfam family "Bacterial small subunit ribosomal RNA", at positions 30 to 507 of the family's 1533-position model. The record is from RNAcentral.